CAAGAAGUAGUUUAAUUAGAACGUCGGCUUUGGGGGCCGGGGGUGCAAAUUUUUGUUUGUCUUUUUGA
Molecule: transfer RNA, 68 nt
Filed under: Paleosuchus trigonatus (Schneider's dwarf caiman)
Lineage: Eukaryota; Metazoa; Chordata; Crocodylia; Alligatoridae
Description: tRNA-Pro
Source: RNAcentral